This 170-nucleotide ribosomal RNA is filed under the name Carapus mourlani (star pearlfish). RNAcentral describes it as "partial 12S rRNA". Lineage: Eukaryota; Metazoa; Chordata; Actinopteri; Ophidiiformes; Carapidae. The record is from RNAcentral.
CACCGCGGUUAUACGGGAAGGCCCAAGUUGACGAAGCCCGGCGUAAAGCGUGGUUAAGAAUCCAAUAAACUAGAGCCGAAGACUAUCAAAGCUGUAAUACGCCCUGUCGAAAGCAUGAAGAACAUUUACGAAAGUAGCUUUAACCAUCUGAGCCCACGAAAGCUAAGACA